GGGAGUGGAUGGGGCCUGGUGGCCCUCCUGGUCUUCAAAACCAGUCGUGGGGCGGUAGUCCCGUCCCGGGUGAGUUCGAUUCUCACACACUCCCGCCA
Molecule: transfer RNA, 98 nt
Filed under: Desulfofundulus thermobenzoicus
Lineage: Bacteria; Bacillati; Bacillota; Clostridia; Eubacteriales; Peptococcaceae
Also listed under: 1 other name
Description: tRNA-Sec
Rfam family: Selenocysteine transfer RNA
Source: RNAcentral